AGAACUUGAAACCGUGUGCUUACAAGUAGUCAGAGCCCGUUAAUGGGUGAUGGCGUGCCUUUUGUAGAAUGAACCGGCGAGUUACGAUCUGAUGCAAGGUUAAGCAGAAAAUGUGGAGCCGUAGCGAAAGCGAGUCUGAAUAGGGCGAAUGAGUAUUUGGUCGUAGACCCGAAACCAGGUGAUCUACCCUUGGUCAGGUUGAAGUUCAGGUAACACUGAAUGGAGGACCGAACCGACUUACGUUGAAAAGUGAGCGGAUGAACUGAGGGUAGCGGAGAAAUUCCAAUCGAACUUGGAGAUAGCUGGUUCUCUCCGAAAUAGCUUUAGGGCUAGCCUCAAGUGAUGAUUAUUGGAGGUAGAGCACUGUUUGGACGAGGGGCCCCUCUCGGGUUACCGAAUUCAGACAAACUCCGAAUGCCAAAUAAUUUAACUUGGGAGUCAGAAUGUGGGUGAUAAGGUCCAUAUUCGAAAGGGAAACAGCCCAGACCACCAGCUAAGGUCCCAAAAUAUAUGUUAAGUGGAAAAGGAUGUGGCGUUGCCCAGACAACUAGGAUGUUGGCUUAGAAGCAGCCAUCAUUUAAAGAGUGCGUAAUAGCUCACUAGUCGAGUGACACUGCGCCGAAAAUGUACCGGGGCUAAACAUAUUACCGAAGCUGUGGAUUGUCCUUUGGACAAUGGUAGGAGAGCGUUCUAAGGGCGUUGAAGCAUGAUCGCAAGGACAUGUGGAGCGCUUAGAAGUGAGAAUGCCGGUGUGAGUAGCGAAAGACGGGUGAGAAUCCCGUCCACCGAUUGACUAAGGUUUCCAGAGGAAGGCUCGUCCGCUCUGGGUUAGUCGGGUCCUAAGCUGAGGCCGACAGGCGUAGGCGAUGGAUAACAGGUUGAUAUUCCUGUACCACCAUUAUUCGUUUUAAGCGAUGGGGGGACGCAGUAGGAUAGGCGAAGCGUGCUGUUGGAGUGCACGUCCAAGCAGUGAGAUUGAGUGUUAGGCAAAUCCGGCACUCUUAAGAUUGAGCUGUGAUGGGGAGAGGAACUUGUUCCUCGAGUCGUUGAUUUCACACUGCCGAGAAAAGCCUCUAGCUAGAAUAACGGUGCCCGUACCGCAAACCGACACAGGUAGUCAAGAUGAGAAUUCUAAGGUGAGCGAGCGAACUCUCGUUAAGGAACUCGGCAAAAUGACCCCGUAACUUCGGGAGAAGGGGUGCUCUUUGAGGUUCACGCUUCGAAGAGCCGCAGUGAAUAGGCCCAAGCGACUGUUUAUCAAAAACACAGGUCUCUGCUAAACCGUAAGGUGACGUAUAGGGGCUGACGCCUGCCCGGUGCUGGAAGGUUAAGAGGAGUGGUUAGCGCAAGCGAAGCUACGAAUCGAAGCCCCAGUAAACGGCGGCCGUAACUAUAACGGUCCUAAGGUAGCGAAAUUCCUUGUCGGGUAAGUUCCGACCCGCACGAAAGGCGUAACGAUUUGGGCACUGUCUCAACGAGAGACUCGGUGAAAUCAUAGUACCGGUGAAGAUGCCGGUUACCCGCGACAGGACGGAAAGACCCCGUGGAGCUUUACUGUAGCCUGAUAUUGAAAUUCGGUACAGUUUGUACAGGAUAGGUAGGAGCCUUAGAAGCGUGAGCGCUAGCUUACGUGGAGGCAUUGGUGGGAUACUACCCUAAUUGUAUUGGAUUUCUAACCCGCAGCACUUAUCGUGCUGGGAGACAGUGUCAGGCGGGCAGUUUGACUGGGGCGGUCGCCUCCUAAAGAGUAACGGAGGCGCUCAAAGGUUCCCUCAGAAUGGUUGGAAAUCAUUCAUAGAGUGUAAAGGCAUAAGGGAGCUUGACUGCGAGACCUACAAGUCGAGCAGGGUCGAAAGACGGACUUAGUGAUCCGGUGGUUCCGCAUGGAAGGGCCAUCGCUCAACGGAUAAAAGCUACCCCGGGGAUAACAGGCUUAUCUCCCCCAAGAGUUCACAUCGACGGGGAGGUUUGGCACCUCGAUGUCGGCUCAUCGCAUCCUGGGGCUGUAGUCGGUCCCAAGGGUUGGGCUGUUCGCCCAUUAAAGCGGUACGCGAGCUGGGUUCAGAACGUCGUGAGACAGUUCGGUCCCUAUCCGUCGUGGGCGUAGGAAAUUUGAGAGGAGCUGUCCUUAGUACGAGAGGACCGGGAUGGACAUACCUCUGGUGUACCAGUUGUCGUGCCAACGGCAUAGCUGGGUAGCUAUGUAUGGACGGGAUAAGUGCUGAAAGCAUCUAAGCAUGAAGCCCCCCUCGAGAUGAGAUU
Molecule: ribosomal RNA, 2262 nt
Filed under: Staphylococcus pseudintermedius
Lineage: Bacteria; Bacillati; Bacillota; Bacilli; Caryophanales; Staphylococcaceae
Description: partial 23S ribosomal RNA
Rfam family: Bacterial large subunit ribosomal RNA
Source: RNAcentral